GACGAACGCUGGCGGCGUGCUUAACACAUGCAAGUCGAACGGUAAGGCCCUUCGGGAUACACGAGUGGCGAACGGGUGAGUAACACGUGGGUGAUCUGCCCUGCACUUCGGGACAAGCCUGGGAAACUGGGUCUAAUACCGGAUAGGACCACUGCCUGCAUGGGUGGUGGUGGAAAGCUUUUGCGGUGUGGGAUGGGCCCGCGGCCUAUCAGCGUGUUGGUGGGGUGAUGGCCUACCAAGGCGACGACGGGUAGCCGGCCUGAGAGGGUGACCGGCCACACUGGGACUGAGAUACGGCCCAGACUCCUACGGGAGGCAGCAGUGGGGAAUAUUGCACAAUGGGCGCAAGCCCGAUGCAGCAACGCCGCGUGAGGGAUGACGGCCUUCGGGUUGUAAACCUCUUUCAGCACCGACGAAGCGCAAGUGACGGUAGGUGCAGAAGAAGGACCGGCCAACUACGUGCCAGCCGCCGCAGUAA
This 478-nucleotide ribosomal RNA is filed under the name uncultured bacterium. RNAcentral's name for it is "partial 16S ribosomal RNA". It matches the Rfam family "Bacterial small subunit ribosomal RNA", at positions 28 to 523 of the family's 1533-position model. The record is from RNAcentral.